This 468-nucleotide ribosomal RNA is filed under the name uncultured bacterium. Its description in RNAcentral is "partial 16S ribosomal RNA". It matches the Rfam family "Bacterial small subunit ribosomal RNA", at positions 28 to 507 of the family's 1533-position model. The record is from RNAcentral.
GACGAACGCUGGCGGCGUGCUUAACACAUGCAAGUCGAACGGAAAGGCCCUGCUUUUGUGGGGUGCUCGAGUGGCGAACGGGUGAGUAACACGUGAGUAACCUGCCCUUGACUUUGGGAUAACUUCAGGAAACUGGGGCUAAUACCGGAUAGGAGCUCCUGCUGCAUGGUGGGGGUUGGAAAGUUUCGGCGGUUGGGGAUGGACUCGCGGCUUAUCAGCUUGUUGGCGGGGUAGUGGCUUACCAAGGCUUUGACGGGUAGCCGGCCGGAGAGGGUGACCGGCCACAUUGGGACUGAGAUACGGCCCAGACUCCUACGGGAGGCAGCAGUGGGGAAUAUUGCCCAAUGGGCGGAAGCCUGAUGCAGCAACGCCGCGUGCGGGAUGACGGCCUUCGGGUUGUAAACCGCUUUCGCCUGUGACGAAGCGUGAGUGACGGUAAUGGGUAAAGAAGCACCGGCUAACUGCGUG